UCGGGAAUAUUGGUCAAUGGACGCAAGUCUGAACCAGCCAUGCCGCGUGAAGGAUGAAGGUCCUCUGGAUUGUAAACUUCUUUUAUCUGGGACGAAAACGGGAUUUUUAUCUCAAUUGACGGUACCAGAGGAAGAAGCACCGGCUAACUCCGUGCCAGCAGCCGCGGUAAUACGGAGGGUGCGAGCGUUAUCCGGAUUUACUGGGUUUAAAGGGUGCGUAGGUGGGCUUAUAAGUCAGUGGUGAAAUCUCCGAGCUUAACUUGGAAACUGCCGUUGAUACUAUAGGUCUUGAAUUAUCUGGAGGUAAGCGGAAUAUGUCAUGUAGCGGUGAAAUGCUUAGAUAUGACAUAGAACACCAAUUGCGAAGGCAGCUUACUACAUAUAAAUUGACGCUGAGGCACGAAAGCGUGGGGAUCAAACA
This 421-nucleotide ribosomal RNA is filed under the name uncultured bacterium. RNAcentral's name for it is "bacterial SSU rRNA". It matches the Rfam family "Bacterial small subunit ribosomal RNA", at positions 355 to 774 of the family's 1533-position model. The record is from RNAcentral.